UACGGAGGGUGCAAGCGUUAUCCGGAUUCACUGGGCUUAAAGGGUGCGUAGGUGGCUUUGUAAGUCAGUUGUGAAAUCUUAGAGCUUAACUCUAAAACUGCCAUUGAUACUGCUUAGCUUGAAUCAAGUAGAGGUGGAUGGAAUAUUACAUGUAGCGGUGAAAUGCUUAGAUAUGUAAUAGAACACCGAUUGCGAAGGCAGUUCACUAUGCUUGUAUUGACACUGAGGCACGAAAGCGUGGGGAUCAAACAGG
RNAcentral lists this ribosomal RNA (253 nucleotides) under uncultured bacterium. Its description in RNAcentral is "partial 16S ribosomal RNA". It matches the Rfam family "Bacterial small subunit ribosomal RNA", at positions 524 to 776 of the family's 1533-position model. The record is from RNAcentral.